GAGUUUGAUCGUGGCUCAGAUUGAACGCUGGCGGCAUGCCUUACACAUGCAAGUCGAACGGCAGCACGGGAGCUUGCUCCUGGUGGCGAGUGGCGAACGGGUGAGUAAUAUAUCGAAACGUACCCUAGAGUGGGGAUAACGCAGCGAAAGUUGCGCUAAUACCGCAUACGAUCUACGGAUGAAAGUGGGGGAUCGGCAAGACCUCAUGCUCAUGGAGCGGCCGAUAUCUGAUUAGCUAGUUGGUGGGU
This 248-nucleotide ribosomal RNA is filed under the name uncultured microorganism. Its description in RNAcentral is "partial 16S ribosomal RNA". It matches the Rfam family "Bacterial small subunit ribosomal RNA", at positions 9 to 257 of the family's 1533-position model. The record is from RNAcentral.